AUUGAACGCUGGCGGCAUGCCUUACACAUGCAAGUCAAACGGUAACAGGUCUUCGGAUGCUGACGAGUGGCGAACGGGUGAGUAAUACAUCGGAACGUGCCCAGUCGUGGGGGAUAACGAAGCGAAAGCUUUGCUAAUACCGCAUACGAUCUACGGAUGAAAGCGGGGGAUCGCAAGACCUCGCGCGAUUGGAGCGGGCGAUGGCAGAUUAGGUAGUUGGUGGGGUAAAGGCUUACCAAGCCUACGAUCUGUAGCUGGUCUGAGAGGACGACCAGCCACACUGGGACUGAGACACGGCCCAGACUCCUACGGGAGGCAGCAGUGGGGAAUUUUGGACAAUGGGCGCAAGCCUGAUCCAGCAAUGCCGCGUGCAGGAUGAAGGCCUUCGGGUUGUAAACUGCUUUUGUACGGAACGAAAAGCUCUGGGUUAAUACCCUGGGGUCAUGACGGUACCGUAAGGAUAAGCACCGGCUAACUACGUGCCAGCCGCCGCAGUAA
Molecule: ribosomal RNA, 498 nt
Filed under: uncultured bacterium
Lineage: Bacteria
Description: partial 16S ribosomal RNA
Rfam family: Bacterial small subunit ribosomal RNA
Source: RNAcentral